This 433-nucleotide ribosomal RNA is filed under the name uncultured bacterium. RNAcentral's name for it is "partial 16S ribosomal RNA". It matches the Rfam family "Bacterial small subunit ribosomal RNA", at positions 29 to 507 of the family's 1533-position model. The record is from RNAcentral.
AACGAACGCUGGCGGCAUGCCUAACACAUGCAAGUCGAACGAGACCUUCGGGUCUAGUGGCGCACGGGUGCGUAACGCGUGGGAACCUGCCCUUAGGUUCGGAAUAACUCCCCGAAAGGGGUGCUAAUACCGGAUAAUGUCUUCGGACCAAAGAUUUAUCGCCUUUGGAUGGGCCCGCGUUCGAUUAGCUAGUUGGUAGGGUAAAAGCCUACCAAGGCGACGAUCCAUAGCUGGUCUGAGAGGAUGAUCAGCCACACUGGGACUGAGACACGGCCCAGACUCCUACGGGAGGCAGCAGUGGGGAAUAUUGGACAGUGGGCGAAAGCCUGAUCCAGCAAUGCCGCGUGAGUGAUGAAGGCCUUAGGGUUGUAAAGCUCUUUUACCCGGGAUGAUAAUGACAGUACCGGGAGAAUAAGCUCCGGCUAACUCCGUG